RNAcentral lists this ribosomal RNA (225 nucleotides) under uncultured bacterium. Its description in RNAcentral is "partial 16S ribosomal RNA". It matches the Rfam family "Bacterial small subunit ribosomal RNA", at positions 101 to 339 of the family's 1533-position model. The record is from RNAcentral.
AAACGGGUGAGUAAUACAUAGGAAUCUACCUAACAGUAUGGAAUAACUCUGGGAAACCAUGGCUAAUACCAUAUAUUACCGAUUUAUCGGGAAAGAUUUAUCGCUGUUAGAUGAGCCUGUGUCGGAUUAGCUUGUUGGUGGGGUAAUGGCCUACCAAGGCGAUGAUCCGUAGCUGGUCUGAGAGGAUGAUCAGCCACACUGGGACUGCGACACGGCCCAGACUUC